Molecule: long non-coding RNA, 201 nt
Filed under: Elaeis guineensis (African oil palm)
Lineage: Eukaryota; Viridiplantae; Streptophyta; Magnoliopsida; Arecales; Arecaceae
Description: long non-coding RNA (EGUI_LNC046580)
Source: RNAcentral
ACUCAGCCACAUAGAUAGCGAUCAAAGAUCACAUUAUCUCAGCCACAGUCAUCAGAUGUUGCAGGUAAAAUCAUUUAUUCUACUUAUGUAAAAUUAAAAUUAUUGUACUAUCUUAUCUUAUUGUUGUAUUUGGAUACUAAUUAGGUAAUUCGAGUCAGUCAACUUCUAGACGAAGAGGUCGAGGCACGGCUCACGGUAUUG